Molecule: long non-coding RNA, 432 nt
Filed under: Oryza brachyantha (malo sina)
Lineage: Eukaryota; Viridiplantae; Streptophyta; Magnoliopsida; Poales; Poaceae
Description: long non-coding RNA (OBRA_LNC000011)
Source: RNAcentral
GCUGCCUCAGCGCCAGUGGCGCAGCCAGGCCAACCUGCAGCAGCAGCAGCAAAUCAAGAACUGGAGCAAAGAUAGAGCCUUGGUGUGUCGUCGUCGUCGGCUACGUACCCGAGCGGGGCCUGCGGAGGAGAGCAGGAGAGCGGAUGGGGAGGAGGCCGCCAUGGAUUGAGCCGAGGAGGAAGGUGAGACGAGGCCAUUACUAGUAGUAGUAGUUGAAGAUAAGCAGAGAGAAGGUGUAGGCUUCUAGUGUCCUACACUACACUACACUCCUCUAGUACCGCUGUUCCCAUGUCGGCCCGGGUGGGCGGCGCUGGCGGUGGCCGUCGACGCGUGGUCGCCACCACCAACCAAAAAGCAAAGAGAUCGUGCUCGUGCUGCUGCCGCUGCCGAGUGCUGACUCCAUGGUCAACCGAAAGGAGCGAGCUUUACAGG